AUAAAGCAUUGAGGCCAUUAAAACAGGUCUUGAAGAAAGAGGUAGAGCCCAAGUCUAGCUUGCAGCCAGUGGAGUAGUACUCCAUGUCCUCUACGUUUUGACUCUCAUCAUGAAGAAGGGGGAAGGCGAGAGAAAACCCAUCAAGCUGCUCCGGCGCCAUAUCUCAUAAACUAGGAAAGAAAGGAGGGGAAAGGAUUAUGAAGAUUAUGAAACUGAUUAGGGUUACAUAGUUUCGAGAAAUGAAGAUUGGAAAUAAUAUAGGCAACUGGGCGGGGACUGUGGAGCUUGAGGGGCGAAACUUUACAUUGCACGCAAAUCUCAUGGUGCUUAUGUAGUCUCACCUCUCAACCAACUUGAUUCACGAGAGCGAGGGUUUGAAUCAAAGAGCUUAAUGGUGUGUUUGAAACUUUUAAGUUAAAAUAAGUUUUCUAAAAAUGUUUUCGAAGAGAAUCAUUUAUUAAAUAUUUAAAAAAAAAAUAUUAUAUGUGACUUUUAAAUGUUAAAAAAAUAUUUUCUAAAUCUUGUUAAAUAUUUUAUUUUUCUUUGAAAAGAUUUUUUAUACUAAAAAUAUUGUUAAAAUAAUCGUAAUGCUUUUAGUAACAAUACUUUAUAGUCUAUUAUGAUUUUAUUGAUAGCAUUUUUACAAGAAACCUUUUAAUACAUUGAUAUUUGGAUGCAAUAAAAAAAUAUAGAAUGUUUUUAUAAUGAUUUUGCUAAUAUACAUAAUAUAAAGUAAAUAAAGUGAUUUUUAAAGAAAAUUAAACAAUUACCUUUUAAGUGACUCUCUAGAUUUUUAAAUAUAAUUUUAAAAACUUUAUAAAAAUAAUUAAUUUUUAUAAGAAAAAUGUCACAAAUUAAGCUUUUAAUUCUCUCACAAUAACUCCCAAAUGGACUCCAAACAUGCAUUUCAUAUUGCUUUUAAAGUGGCAUAUAACAAGCCUAGCAUGACGGUCCAAAACUUGGAAUUAAUUUUUUUUAUAAAUAUUUUAAAUAUACAUCAUGCAAUGAAAUGCUAAUUAUAAAGUAUUCACAUGACUCUCAUGAAUAGAUAAGGUCCUCAUUCUAACACACAUUUUUACCUAAAUUUUAGAAAUAAAACAUUGAAUAUAGUUUAGCAGCACUCAUGAAUCAUGACAAAUCAUGACUUAAGUUAUAAAAUGAUCACAUACAAAACUUUGACAUCAUGGGGUAGGGGUACCUUUGAUGGGCCCUUGUCCCAUGUGAAUCAUACCACUAAUUAUCUUAAUUGAUCACAUCCAUUUUUAAUUUGCAUGCUUUGGCAUUUCCUUUUUACUACCAUCAAUUUAAUUAAUAGAUUGGAUAUACUAGAAAAUUGUAUUAUUUAUAUAAAAUUUUCUAACAAUUUAUAAAUCUUAAGGUUGUUACAGAAUUAAUCCAGGAUAAUAUAAGUAUGUAUUAUUGAGUUGUGAGAAGGCUAAUGAAGUUUGAAAGGUAUAAAGUGAACUUAUAUGAAAAUUACGAAUAAAUUUAAUUGAAAAAGGAAUUUUAGUUGAAAAUUUAUAAUAUAGGGAAAAGGAAAUUGUAUUGAAAAAAAAAAUGUAGUAGGAAAGCUCAAGUGACCUUAAAGACGUUCAAUGAAAAAAAUUGCCCAACUUUUAUUUUUGGGUAGAGCUUCCAAAUUUUGUAAGUUUCCUACCUCGUUUUUUUUAUAAAAAUAAUAUUUUUUAAUUUUGGGUGUGUUUUGUCACUAUUCUUUUAUAUGUGUCUUUUGUACGUCUUUUACUCACCUAGAGCACCCUUAAUAUCAGGUCAUUGUCUUUUAUAAAAGAAAACGUUUUUGUUGUUAAGUUUAAGAUGGUAAAAUCACAUUUUUUUUUCAAGAUGUCGAGGAAACCAUUAAAAAAUAAGGAGGUGUUAUAUCACGGAUAUGAGAAUAGAUAUAGGCACCGAUAAUAUAAGUCUGAAUAAAUAAUAACUAUCAAAUAAAUCUAUAUAUCUUUUUUCCAUGAUUAAUGAAUUUUAAUUUUGGGAUUUUUGACUUUAUGGCUUUUACAUAGGUAUUUGGAAUACUUUGUAGAUAGUUUUCCAUAUAGAUCGCAUUUCCUUCCGUACAAUUAAAUGUUUUUUAUUUUUAUUAAUUAAUUAUAUUCUAAUAAAAAAAACAUAUAAAAACUAAAAAUUGAUUUUUUUUUUUUAGGCUACACUUGAAAAGACUAAUUACCAUCCCCUCUAAAUAGUUCCAUUGUAUAAGAUUUGAAACUCUAAUUGCACUUUAUGUAUACCCUUCAUUUUGUCUUCCUAGCACAUGUUCUAUUAGGUAUUUGUUCGGUACUUUAUAACAAUUCCCUAGUGACCCAUUACUACUCGUGUAGCCUAUUUUUCUAAGCCACUUUGGGGACUUUGAUUGAGAAAUUUAUCUAACCUCAUUGUGACUCUUAACAGCCCUAGUUUAGAUUUAGUCUCACUUAGACACCUUAGGCCCACUUACGCUCCCUAGGCCCAAUUAGGCACCUUAGGCCCACUUAGAUACACUUGGCCAUUAAACACCUUAAACUCACUUAGGUGCCCUAGGCCCAAUUAGGCACCAUUUAGACACCAUUUAGACACCUUAGGCCCGCUUAGAUACACUUGACCCAUCAGGCACCACACUAGGCCCAAUUAGGCACCACUUAGGCCUACUUAGGCAUCUUAGGCCCAUUUAGAUUUUAAGCCCAUUAGGACACACCCUAGGUCACCUGUAGAUGUUUCUACAUGGUUCGCAUAGUUGCAUGGCUCCUUUUUUUGCAUGGUUGCAUGGCUCUUUUUUUUUUUUUUUUUUUUGUGGUUACAUGGCUCGUAUGGCUUGCAUGUAGUUGAUUUUUAUUUUUAUUUUAUUUAUUUAUUUAUUUAUUUUAGGUGCGUGAUCUAAAUUUCUUUUGAUUUUCCAUUUAUUGAUUUUAAUCUUUAUUUUAUUUCUAUUUUAUGUUAUCUUUAUUUUAUUUUUAUUUUUUGCUUUUACCUUUAUUUUAUUUCUUGCAUGAGGGAUGCGGUUGCACCUAAAUGGAAAGAGGAGAUUACAGCUCGCAAAAGGAUUUUCCAAAAGCAGGGAUGAGUGAUGGGUGGGAUUGGAUUCUCCAUGAGUUUGAGGAUAAGGGGACUUCCCAAAAAGAGACAACACGUUGUUAUCAUGGAGAGAGGCUGCCAUACACAGAAAAUGAAGAAGACUCUUGAGCACGUAAGGGGAAAUGAGGGAUCCAUAAUAAAGAGGCUGGUAUUUUUGGGAGAAUAGAGAUGGAGGAUUGAGAGACGUGAGGGUGAUCCAACAUUCGAGAGGGAGAGAGAGGGUUUUCAUAGGGGAAAGAGAGAAAUGAAAAGAUUUUUUUUUUUUUAAAGGGAUCGGUAAGAAGAGAAGGGAGAUUGUCGUUCUAAAAAGAAGAGUAGGACAAUGUGAGAGAUGGGGAUUUUUUUUAGAGGAUCACUGGACUGUUGCUUAAGGAUUUUUUUUUUUUUUUUUUAAGGAACACCGGGCUGUUGUUGAGUUUUUUUUGGGAUCACUAGGUUGUUGUUCCAUUUUGGAAAAUGGGCAAGGAGUUUUUCAGGGAGAAGGGUGCCAUUUUUUUUUAAAGGAAUCGGGAAUGAGUUUUUUUUUAGAGUGUGAGGGGCUGUUUGAAGGGAUCAAGAGAGAAAGCUUUGAGAGCAUGAGAAAGGGCUGCCGUUUUGGAUCAGUGCAAGGAGUUUUUUUUUUUUUUUUUUUCAGAUGGUUGCUGAUUUUUUUUUUUUUUUUUUAUCAUCGGGCUGUUGAUCCAUCAUAGCAUUAACUCCACAUCACAACUGAUGCUCUUCCACUCAUCCUUCACCGCACUAGCUGCACACCACCUUUUUUGGUAUCUUCACAACCGUUAGGAGUCUUAUAAAUUAUGCAUGCUACCCAGGUACACUUUCUAUCACUACUUUUCGAAAUUCCAUGAACAUACAUGUUGUUGUGAGCCUUGUUUAUGCUUGAUAUGAUCCUUCUAUGAUUAAAUACAUGUCAUAUGUUAUAUUUCUAUACUAACUCCGAUGUUUUAUGAUAGCGCUUGAGAAGCGGUUCAGGUACGCACCCUAAAUUUUCUUUAUGAUUGUGAUUGGUUUUCUUGUUUGGCAUGCUAUUUUUUUGAAAUCACCUUGUCUACCUAGGUAUCCAUAAUCAACCAAAUUAAUUAUCAUAUUUCCCUCAAUUUAGUCAAUAGAGUCCUUUGUAGGGCUUAGAGGGGUGCUACCUCUUAGAAGUACCUUUCCAAUAGGUAACCUGAUUCCCGGACCUAGAUUCGGGUUUUUCAAAGACACGUUUUUCCAAAAACCUUGGAAUCAUUUUUUUGAGGGUUUUAUUUCUUGUUUUAUUUUCCCUUUAAAAUAAAUAAACUAAGUGGCGACUCCGACUUUUCUAAAAUUGAUUUUUUACCAAAUAAAAAGCGAGUUUCGCCAAUCGAGUGGCGGCGCAAGUGAAAAAUACGGGUCCACAGUCUAAUUUCUUAAUUCAUUUUUUACUAUCAUUUCUUUAUGCUUUAAUUUAAUUGUAUUUUAAAAUUUUUAUUUAGUGAUUCAUAUUGGAUCGUACAACAAUAAUUAAAGUUAAAAGUUACUAAUUUUUUUGUCUUAAAAUUUAUUUUAUUUUAAUUGGUUACAUGUGUAAGCGCAAAAUAUGAUAAUGAGGAAACGACCAUUCAUAUAAAGCUAAGUAACCAAAGAUUAUGACUAUCUUUUGAUUGAAAUACAACGAAAAAUUUGUUUAAUUAAAAUACUAGACUUUCAUGAUUUGAAAUUAAUAAAUAUUUUAAUAUUUGUAAUUUUAAUAAUAAUAAUAAUUUGUAGUGAUGUACUUUGAUAAUAAAAAAUUAUCUCAACUAAUUUUAUCCUUUAGAUAAUCCAUGAGAGGUUUACAAUAAUUUUUUCUAGAAUAUGAAACCAUAAAAAUUUGUGAGAGAAAGAAAUUUUCAAAAAAUUAUUAAACUUAAUUUUUUUCCUUUCAUUUUUUAUCUUUAAUUUUUCUUUUUUCUCUUGUUUAUCAUCAAAUUUAUUAAAAUCCUUUUAUAAUAAUAAAAUUGGCGCAUAAACAAAUGGUAGAGGGUGGAGAUGAGGUGACAACAUUAGGAGCUUAUAGUAUAUACUCAAAAUAAUUAAUGGACAUUCCCACGAAGGCCAUGAAUUUUCAUAUUUCAACAAAGGUUUGUUUAAGGUGAUUCUUAUAAUAACACUUUUAGCUUGUAAUUCUUUUAUUACCGACAUUUAUGAAAAAUCAAUUAAUGUUUUAAGUUAAAUAAAAAUGCAUAUGUCAUAGUGUUUGUUAUAAUAUGUAACAAUAAUAUGAUUUUUAUAAUGAAGUGCAAUGUCAAGCUAACUCAACUUAAGAGUAUACCUAAAACAAAGUAUUAACUAGUUUAGUCAAUUUUUACUGAUUAUAUAUUAAUGAAAAAAAAAAUUUAAGAUGUAAUAAGAUAAAUUAAAACACAUAAUUAUUAGACAACAAGAAAAGAGAAAGUAAACAAUAAUUUAACAUGGUAAUUCAAUGCAACCCCCUCAUAUCCAUGACUUCAAGCUCCAAUCCAAUGCUUAAAGUGUUCCUCUAUAUACUCAAUUGAGGAUCCUUCAACGAGCGAUGUAUCCUUCAACUUUACAUUUAGUUUGAGGGAUCAAUAGAGUUUUACAAAGCUCCACAAAUAAAGUUCACUUACUUGAAAACUCUCUCACAUAGAAUGAUAGAAUUAAAUGACUAUCAAUAUAUCAUAUACAUAAGUAUAUGUAUUGAUAGUGUAAGAUUAAGGAAAAAAACAACUAUCAAGAAUAAAUUAUGUAACUAUUCUUUCAUAUAUAUUAAGAAAAAUUUAGUUCUACACAUAAAUCACUUACAUACUUAUGUGAUUAUUUAUUGUGCGUAUUUAUUAAUUGCUUACAUCAUAUUAAAAAAACUUGAAAGAAAAUAUAAAAAAAAAGUCAAUUUUUAGGUAUAUAUUUAAGAACUACCUAUUCACUAUUUCUUUGGAUAGGCUCAUCGUAUAACAUCUUAAACUCUCGUAAGUAAAUUAAGAUAAUAGGACAAACACAUAUGCAUUAUUAAAUAAGAAAUCGUUUGACAUUUUAGGUCAAACACAAUUGCAUCAAAUCUAAGUUUUAAUAAGAUCUAAUUCUCUUUUAUUGGUGAUAAAACUAUCCUUAUUAAGAGUUUUAAUAAAAAUGUCUACUAAUUGAUAAUUUGUGCUAACAAAUCCAAGUGUAAUAUCAUGUUUUUGUGCAUGGUCCCUAAGAAAGCAAUGUUUAAUUUCAAUGAGUUUAGCCUUCACAUGUUGAACCAAAAUUUUAGAAACAUUCAUAGCACAUUACAAGGAAAAAGAUAUAUGGUGAAGGCUAAACUCACCAUAAACAUAGGGUGUCACUACAACAUAGUGUCACCUUUUCCACUAACAUCAUAGAGGGUACUAAUUGGUGAUGUAUUUGGAAGUAACACCAAAGUAGAUAAAUGGUGACCCAUUCGGAAGUGACACCAUAUAUUUCUAGUGAUGAUGGGGUGUUACAUUAUAUGCAUCAUCUUUGAGUUAUGAUGUCACAUUAAAUGCAUCACAUUUGAGUUAUGGUGUCACAUCAUUGUAAAUUAUUGUAGAAGAUAUUAUUGGUUUUAGUUGUAAAUUUUUGUAAUGCUUAUGAAUUAAUAAGAUUAACAUGUUUAUAUUUUGUCCAUAAAUAUAACAAUCAUAUUAUAUUUAACUCAUUUUUCUGUAAUGUUUCUGGAAUAACUCAUAAUACAUUGAUCAUCUAAUAAUAUUUGUAUAUCAAAUGUUCACAAAAAGAUAGUACAUCCAACAUAUCAAACCCAUCAAAACUAAAAAAAAAAUAGUGAAUACAUACCAAAACAUGAUUUAGAAAUGUUAAAGAUCCCAAAAUUCAUGUAUACCUCCAUUUCAUAAGCAUAAAAUCGGCUAACUAUAAAAUGACAUAAAAGUCCCAUUUAAAAAUCUAAAUUUCUCAGUACCAAUUAAAGUAACAUUUAUGUCCUACAACGUAUGACAUAAGAGUUGCAUUUAAAACCCAAAAUCUUGUUGCCUUCUUCUUUCUUUUUAUUCUCCAUUCCACCCUCCCAAGAGUGUAUACCUUCAUUUCAUAGUUUAAUGAGUUUUAUAGAUUUUUAUUGAAGAAAAUAAACAUGGAUCAAUGUUAUCAUAAAUGAACAAAUCUAAGAACUAUUUUUUUUUCUUUUUUUUUUUCAAAUAGAAACAUUAUUCAAAGAAUAAGCAAUACUAUACAAUAUCUAUGGAAAAAUUCAUGUAGUAGCUAAGGGACUCACCAUGCAUGGUGAUCAUGAUGCAUCAACAUGAUUCAUGAUUAGUUGUAGCACAAAAGUAGCCUAUUCUCCUCUAAUUUCAUCGAAAUUCUACUUGACAAUAUGUUUUUUUAUCACCAAACUGAAAUCAAAUAAGAAAAUAACAUUAAAAUGCAUAACAUUUGGAAGACUAAAACUAUGUACAAUUCAUUAAAUAAGUAAUACUUUUGAAGCAAUAAUUGUAGGAUAAAAAAUUAUCUCUUUAAUGAAUCUCAUAACAAAGUAGCCACAUUCGAACCCUCCUUCUUGUCUUGGGCACUAAUCGAUCAAUUAUAAAAUAACAUUAGUACUCAUAUAUAUAAAUGGUGCAAAUGCAUAAGCUAAUAUACGUGUAAAGAAAAAUUUUUGGAUGUCACUUGCACUAGUUCCUAAGAUGGCUCCCUCUUAGAUGUUUUCUUUGCAGAUAUUCGAAGAGCCCUAUGUAAAUAAGUUCAAUUGGUACAUUUUUAAAAUAGGUAAAUGUUAUAGGUUUUAAUAUAUAUAUAAAUAAUAAAAAAAAUGUGUUUAAGGUGAAUGUAUUUUUUUUUAUAAAAUAAUACUAUGAAAAAUAAUAAGAACUUACAUGUUUACGAUAUCCUUUAAGUCUUCACAUGGUUUGUGAUGCAUAGGGUCAAGAUAGUGGACUAUCAUUUUCCUUGGCUCAAUCACUACCAAGAUCCAAUGAAAGCUAAAACAUUAAAAACAAAAGUAGCAUCUAAUUAGAAAUAUAAAUCAAUCAUAAAACCUCAAAUUAAAGUAUAAUAUUCGUCACUUACUUGGGGUUAUAGGGCAUGAAAACAUAUUUAGCAUCGUGACACUCUAUUAAGCAUUUUGAAAAUAAUUGUGCUCUUUUCUCUGUUUGAGGAGUACUAAAGCCUGCUCGUGAUAUUGUAAAAGGAUUAACAAAUAUAAAUUAUGAUUCCUUUUUGGCAAUAUGUAGUUGAUCAUGCAUGUGCUUAUUAUUGUAUCAAAACACCAAAAGAAAAUUAUCAUUAGUUAUAUCCAAUCUCGUUCAACAUGGGCAACUCAUAUUAAAAAAAUAAAAACAAAUGAAAAUAAAGGUGCACAACAUAAAUAGAAGGAGAUGCAGUUUAAUGACACCUCUAAAGAUGAAAUAAUGUAUUCACAAUCCUCUCUAGAUAUAUAUGUUUGAAAUUUGACACCAAAUAGUGAAAUGGGGAACUGUAUUGGGUAUGUCUUAUCAUUACCAAGACAACCAUCUACAAAUUUCUGAAAAUUUUUAAUGACCGAAUGAUUUUGAGGCUUAGAUUUUUGAAUAAUUGUUACCUUCACUAUCUUCUUCUUUCUUUUAUCCAACACCUAUGAAAAAGGAAGGAAUGUUAGUAAAUAUAUACUCCUAAACAAUAAAAUACAAAGUUACAAUCAAAUUUACUACGGGUAUAAAAUGAUAUGCCUAAGGAUGUUCAGUUUCAAGUAUGACAAGGCUUGUUGGCCAAUCAAGCCCAAAUAUUGAAUUUAAGUACUAAAAUUUUAAUUUAUAAAUACUAAAAUUUAUAAGUAAUAAAAACAAAUAACUAACAAAAACAAAAGUUACAAGCUCACUUUUUGUAGUGAAUUCGCCUUUAAAAAAUUAAAUUCUAUUUAAAAUAAAAAUGUAUGGUAAUUUCAAAAUCAUUUUUGAUGAAAUAAUUUUUUUACAAAUUACACUACCUCUACAAAAUGCCUAUUUAUGAAUGGGUAGAUUUUACCCCAUACAUGAACUUUCAUAAUCAAAUUUAAGUAUCUUAAAUUUCUUUUAGAUACAAGUAAAACUCUAAUAUAUAAAAUAUCGUAUACAAUAUUCUCACUAACAUACACUACCUAAAAUGUUUUAAAUAGGAAAAAUAAUCCAUAUAUACCUCUGUUAUACCAUGUUGGCUUGUUGAUAUAGUAUUAUUAUUAUUAUUAUUAUUAUUAUUAUUUGGAAUUUAACUGUCUAAUAAAAUAACUUACUAUUUCAUUUUAUUUUAGUUAAUUUUUUUUUAAUAAGACAACAACAAAAAGGGAUAGUUAUGUCAUGUCAAUAUGUUUAUAUGGUAGAAAGAAGGUAAUUGAUACAAGGCAACCAAUUUAUUGUAUAUUCUCUUUUAGGAAUAUUAUGUGAAAUAUUCAUUGAUAUUCUUUUGUGAAAAUAGAUUUUCAUAUACUAAAUGAGAAUUUAAAAAUAUUUCUAUAAAUUUUGAUUUGUGCAUAUUCAAAUAUUAACCAUGAUCCUACUCUGGGAUAUACAAGGAAAUGAGCGUGAGAAAAUUUUCAAUAUUUCAUUAAAAUCUUUUUUAAAAAAAUGUCAUAAAAAAUUAACAAAUUUAGAAAAAAAAAAAAGGACAGUGUUUUUUAGAACAAAUUUUUUGUUUUUCAAAACAAAACAAAAACAUAUUUUACAAUAUAAAAAAAAACCCCCAAAAGUUUUUAAAAUAUUUAAGAUAUAAAUACAGUGGCAUGGUUGUGGCUUACAAACCUCGUUCAAAAAGAUAACGAGCCUGAGAAAAUCUGUAGGGAGGGUUUGACAACUAUGAAACCAGAGAUAAUAUCUAGAGAAACUAUCAAACCUUCCUCUCCAACCCCACAUUCCCAAAGAUGGUACAAGCUCUCCGUAUUCGAUCAAAUGAGUUAUGGCAUGUAUAUUCCCAUCAUCCUAUUCUACACCAGCAAUGGCGAUGAUAACCCAGUUGACUUUUCCCAUAGAUUAAGUGGGCUCAAGAAAUCCCUCUCUAAAACUCUAACUCGAUACUAUCCACUAGAUGAGAGGUUGGGGAUGGUGGGAGUAUUAUCUUCCCGAAUCGGUCCUUUUGGGGUUGGAUACUCUCAACGAAAUUCUAUAUCUCAUUCCCACUUAGAUACAAACAGAAAAAUCAUUCUUUUUUUUUUUUUCUCUCUCUCGUUUUUUAGAAAGGAUGAAGAUUAUAUAGCAGUAUAUUUCAACAAAAUUCUGUACCUGUCAUUCUCACACAAAUACAUAUUAAAAAUCAUUCAUUUUUUUUUCUUGUUUUUCACUUGUUUUUAAGGAAUCGGCCAUGUGUUUGGUUCAGAUUAAAAACUCAAUUAAUCUAUAGGUUUUUUCUUCUAUGCUAGAAGUUUAAACCUAAGUUUUUCUUCCCUACAACUCAAGAAAACGCAGCUCACAAAAAUCAUAAUACAAAAAUGUUAAAACAAUCAAUAUAAUGACAUUAAUAAAAGAAAAAAGAUGAUAGAUCUAAGAGAUUUUGGGUUACCUAGGAGUCCACAAAUAGAAGAAUGUCGGUUGUGAGCGUGUUGACUAUGAGUGAGAGAAAGGUAGAAGAAGAUUAUGAUUUUAUAUAUAGGGUUUGCAUACUGAGAUUUUUUGGAUUGUGGGCAUGUGAAAACAAUGGGCUUUUUAUAUAUUGUCUCUCAUUAUUAAUUCUAAAAAUGGGCUCAAGUGGGCUUAUUAAGUUAUAAUACUUAAAAAAAUUUAUUUUAUAUGAUGUCACUUCCCGAAAAAUGACACUAUAAAUAUAAAACUAAUAUCAUCUAACCACCUCAAUUGGAGAUUUUUUAUCUAAUGUGUCACCUUUAUUAAUUAUAAACCCUAUUGUGUCAUUAUUUUAAAAGUGACAUCAUAAAUAAUGACACCAUAAAUUAUUUUUGGAGUAGUGGCACUAAUGUUUUCCCAUUUAAUAGGCACAAAGUUUAUAUAGGAAACUAAAGUCAUGCAAGGUUUGUUUCAUCUAUUAAAUGAAAGGACUAUACAACACGAAUAAAAAGUAAUAUAUUCUACUUCUAUAGUCGAUAAUGUGAUGAAAUUUUGCUUUUUUGCAACACUAAGAUGCUAGUGAGUACCUAUAAAAUGACAAGUAUUACUUUUGUUUUUUCAAUUUAUUUUAUAAUUGGAAAAAUCUACUUCCAAAUAUGAAUUAAAUUAAAAUUUGUGCACCUAGGAUACCAUAAGCCUAGAUUAAUUACUUUUUAAAAUAUCUAAGUAUUCUUGUAAUAGCAUUAAGAUGAGAUUUCUUAGAAUAUAAUUGAAAUCUAACAUGCUAACAUACCUACUCGUAGUAAGGUAAUUAAAGUAAUGUUCAUAUCAUAUACAAUGUAGGAUAAAUUCCUUUUUGUAAAGCUUUAUGGAUGAACUUGGACAAGUCAUCACUUUUAUAUCUUCCAAAUUGAAUCAUUGGAAACAAACAUGGUGUAACCCUAUGUUGGGUUCUAAGGGAAGAAAAAUGAAAUGUUAAAAAAUUUAAAUUUUUUUUUAAAUUUUUGGUUACCAUGGAAAAAAAAAAGAGAAAAUACUAAGAAAAAGAUAAAGAAAAAAGCUUCUUAGAUUUUCUUCCGUUACUUUAAGAAAAGGUUUGGGGCAAGUGCAUUCAUCUGCAAUUUAUUUUUCUUUUUCUAAAUUUUCUAUAGAUAAUCAAAUAAGAGAAGGAAAUUUUUAUAAAUUUUUAUCUUUGUCUUUCCUUAUAAUUUUUCUUUCCUUUAAACAUCCCGAAUCGAAACUUAAAAGAGUUUUUUUAUAACUCUAUUGUAUUGCAUGUGAAUAUUAAAAGGCAUAUGAUCAAUAUAGACCAAUAUAGGGAGGCAUACUAUUUUUUGAUUAAUAAAUCCAUUGGAUUACAAAAUUUUUAUUGUCAAUACAAAAUAAUAUACACUCAUAACUGGCCUAUUAUUUCUACUAUAGAUGUGUAGGUACCCAUGAUGCCAGCUGAAAUACCCAUUAAAACAACCCCAAUUAUAAUCACUAGUUCGACUCCAAAUUUGUGGUAAAUGCCUGAAAUCUUCAAAUAGCAUAAGCAUGGCAACAAGAUUGAAGCUGUGACACUUAAAAAAGCUCCCACCAGUGACAUGAGAGACCCAAAAAAUGGCACUGUCAGAGCUACAAUGAUGGUGCUGAAUACCAAGGUGGAUCUGAUUAUAAGGCUAAAUGGUCUUUUCUUGUAGUAGUAUGGGAGCCAAUUUUCAGUAGCAUCCACAAUUGGUGUAACCAUCAAUGCAUAUUUGGAUAUGGGAUUGACCAGAGUAGUGUAUAUGGCGAUCCUUGAGCUAAGCUUCUCAAUUGGAAGGUUCAAGGUUAUUUGUGAUUGAACAUUUGAACCAAACAUCAGGUACCCUAAAAUUGCCAUUGCUGCAUAAGUGAUGGUGCAGAAGAUGAAGCAUACAAGGAGGACCUGCAAUGAGAAAUGUAGUAUUCAAGGUUAGUAACCACAAACCAAACUCAGCUGAAGUUUCUGUGUUUUUAUAAAAUUCACCCAAAUUAAGAGUGCGUAUCAGUGUUUUUAAAAACACUUCAUAAAAACAUAUUCUAAAAUUAUUAUGAAAGUUACUCAAAAUUAAAAAAAAAUAAAGAUAAAUAGAUAAGAUUUGAUAGAAUUUAAAAUUUGUUUUUGAAUUCAAUGGAUUAAAAUAGAAUCGAGGUAAUUCUCCGUGAUUUGAAAUCCUUGUCUUUUCCCAGCCAUGGUUUGAAAUCCUUAUCUUUUUCCAACCAAUCAAGUUCCAUCUACACCGAGGAUUCUAGUUUCUUUCAAAAAAAAAGGAAACUGCCAACACUUGCUACAGAUGCUUUAUCUUCCACAGAUAUUUUUAUAAGCGAAAAGACUAGCGUCGCAUCACUGAAAAAUUGGACAUGUAAAAAAUAAUUAAAGAUUUAAAACUUACAUUAGAAAAUUGAUGCUUCUUCCUCAUGGAAGUGUACAAGGUGGGGAAGACCGGAUGGGCACAAUAACAGAAGGCAUAUAAGCUAACAGCAGUGGGGAUUCCCUGCCAAUUUAGACUUGUUCCCUUCUCAUCAAAUCCAACUCCAUCAAAGGCCCCGGUCCAUAGAAUUGAGCCAAGAAUGAUGAUACAAGCUAAAACACCGCUGGCUGAUAUAUAAGAAAGAAUAUUGAGGUUGUUCACCCAGACAGAAGGCAAAAUAACAAGGCCCACAAUGAUUAUGAAGCUUUGUCUCCCAUCAAUCAUUAAUCCCCAAAUCUCAAGCCCCAUGUUGGGAAACAGAUUAUGUAGAUUAUCCCCUUCGAGGAUUAGAAAGCCUGUUGCAACCAAGUAGAGCUCGGUAUACAUGAAAACAGAUACCAGUAAUCUUCCCAUCUUCCCAAAUGCUCGCUCGCCAACAUCAGGGUAAGUUCGGAUAUUUGGAUGGGCAUCCAUACAUCUUCUGAGUAGUAAGCCUGUGUAGAAAGUUGCAGUGGCGAUAACAAGUAGAAGAACCAAGCUCAACCACCCUCCCGAUGAAAGGGCAUAUGGUGUGGAAAGGAUCCCAACUCCUGAUCAUAAAGCAUAGUCAAAGAAUUUGGUGUUCAGUUCCUUAGUCACAAACAGAUCAUAUUUCGGAGAUAAGAGAGUGGCAUCAGAAAAAAGAUAAACCUGAUAAAGCAUUGAGUCCAUUGAAACAGGUCUUGAAGAAAGAGGUAGAGCCCACAUCUUGCUUUCUACCGUUGGACUCAAUGUCCUCCACUUUGUUGUGAUUCUGAUCAUCAUGCAAGAGGGGCAAGGUGAGAGUGAACCCAUCACGCUGUUCAGCCUCCAUGUCGAGAGAGAGAGAGAGGAAGAGACAGAGUCCGAAGAAGACUACUAUGAAGCUUGAAGAGAGGUGAGAGGCUUAUAUAGGCAAAGAUAAAGUGGGUGGUGCAAGUGAGCAAUGAGAAGUGGGAACUCGUCAAUUAAUAGGAAGGGAAGCUUAAAAGCUAUGUUCCAAAGAUAAGAGACUUUUACUCAUCUUGCACGCCUAUCACAUGGUUUUAUUUCUCAAAUCACGUGACGCAUGUGACUGCCAACUAUUAACGUGUUUUUGUAUUGUUGACCUUGUAAGACCUAGGAGGUCAGCCUUCUAAAUCCCCAAGAAUUCCGUCAUCCAGCCUCUCUAAAUUAAAAAAAAAGAAGAGAAAACUCCUACUUUCCUUGAGGAAUCUAAAGUUUAUAAAACAUUUUCGCGUAAAAGUUUGAUAAUUUGGUAAUAGAAACAAUACUUUCUAUUUAUUCUUUCUAGAACUUUAUAUAAGAAUAUAGUGUUUAUUAUUUCUUUCUAGAAAUUUAUAUAAGAUUGUAGUGUGAGUCAUGAAUAUCCUAAAAUAAAAUAAAAUAAUACAAUUUCCUAAAUUAAGAUAAUCUCUCAAAUAUUAUUAAUAUUUUAUAAUGGAAAUAUUGACAGGAAUUCAUUUUAUGUAUCUUUCUUUUGUCCUCAUUUAUUCUUUCCCUUAAUAUUCAUCACACAUUUAUUUUGACUUAGUUUAGAUUAAUUAGUUUCAAUUGAUUUUUAAAAAUCAAAAACUUCUUUUUAAGUUCAAUUUUACCCUCUAUACUUUUCUUUAAAAAAAAAAGAAUUUUAUUUGAAAAUGACUAAAAUAUUACUUUUCGUAGAAACCUUAUUAUGGUCAAAAUACAAGGGAAAUAAAACUACGAGAAAAAGUAAAAGAAAAUAAAAGUUAAGAAAAAUAAAAAAGAAAAAUUUUAAAUAAAUAAUUUUUUUAUGCUACUUCAAAUUCAUUUCACUUGUUUUACCUAUUCUAUAUAAAAAUUAAAUAUUUUUAAAGUAUAUAAAUUUUUUUACUAAUUUUAAGUAUAAUUUCUUUCAUAUUUUUCAUAAUAACACUAUAUAUAUAUAAUUCUUCGACUUUGGUUUCAACUUAUAAUUUUAAGACAAAUAGAAAGUCUUCUCAAGCGAAGACACAUUGGAAUUACGUCCUAUUUGAAAACUAUUUUUUAAAACUGUCAUUUGAUUUAAAACUAUUUUAUAAAAUAAAAGUCUGAUUGAUGAUCUUAAAUGUUUUUAACAUAUUUUUAAUAUUUUUAAAUUAAUUUUAAUGUCUACUAAUUUGUUUUUAAUCAUUUUUUAAGGGAUAAUUGUGUUUUGGACCCUAAGCCAAAAAAAUUAAGAUUAUGAAAGUUGCAUAAUUGAUGGGAAUGAUAUAAAAUGUGAAGAGAACAAUAUACCCUUUAAAACUAUUUUGAGUAUUUUCUAUCAUAAUGUUUGACAAAAAAAAAAUUUAAUUUUUUUUAAUAAUUAUUCUGAAAAUUUAUUAUUUUUAGAAAACUAAUUUAAAAUAUAUAUAUAUAUAUAUAUAUAUAUUCUAAAAAUAUAUCAUUUUAAAAAAUAAUUUUGACAUAUUUUUAGUUAUUUUUUACAUACAUAAUUUAAAAAUAUAUAUAUAUUUUUCAAGAUGAUUAAUUAUUAAAUAAUAAUAAUAAUAAUUUAUUUUCAUUUUUUUGUAAAAGGGUGUAUUUUUUUCCGAAUCACUAAAUUAAAGUAAAAUUUAUUGAGGUUUACAAAAGGAAUAAAAUUUAAAUUAAUAUUUUCCUACUCUUUUUUUUCAUAAUUAAUAAAGGUGAUUUUUUGAAAAAUAAAAAAUUCAUAUCCUUCUUCUCAAUUUCCAUAUUUUCUCUAGAUCUUGAACUUAAAUAGUGAAUUUAUAUGGACCAAAUCUUAAUUUUUGGGCCCAAUUAGUUUCAAAAUACAAUUGUCCCUUUUUAAAAAACAAUCCUCAAAAAAUAAAUAAAAAUAAUUAAAAAAUAUUAAAUUAUUAUUCAAUUUUUUUUUAUUAAACGCAUUUUCUAUUUUUUUUGUUCUCCAAAAAAAAAACAUUAUUUUUUAAAGCAAUAAUCAAAUAGCUUCUAUUUUUACUUAGUUUUCACUUCUCUAGUAAAAUUUAUUCCAUCCUCAAUAUUCAGGCCAGUACAAUUAUUUUUCUUUUGUAUAUAACCCUGCGAAGUAAAAGGUUCUGCCCAGGUGUUUGACUUAAAAAGGAAGGGGGAAUAAUAACGCUGUAUUCAAUACGUCUUCAUCAUACGCAAUAUGGUACCAUCAUUAUAUGUCUGCAUAGAAGCAAUCAUUUUGAAAACUAUCAACCAUGACGAUAACAUGCAGUGCCCACAAGCCUGCCAAUGACCCUCUAAAACUUACAUAUAAGUAAAAGAAAUAAAAAUAAAUCCUCUAUCUAAGUGUACAAGUUCCAAUAGAUGUUUUGAAUUCAACAAAUACAUGGGAGUUUAUACAUGACAUGCCAUUUGUGCCACAUGCUAUAUGUAUUUGAUGGGCAUUGUAGGGACCAGCUACAUUUGACUAGUUUGGUAUAGCCAUGGCCAAGCUGAAUGUGAAUAAUGAUGUUAGUUAUUAGAAUGUGAAUAACAAUGUUGGUUGUUCGUGGACCACGUAGUACAACUCGCUUAUCAUGAAUACAAAAAAUUUGAUUAUUAGAAUGUGAAUAACGAUGUUGGUUGUUCUUGGACCACAUAGUACAACUCCCUUAUCAUGAAUACAAAAAAUUAUCAUUGAAGGUAUCAAAAUUUUAAUUGAGUUCUAUCUCGUCGCCUUUUGUGUAUAACGCGUGCAUGGGUCCUCCCAUCAUAAGUUACACCAAUUUGAAUGACAAAACCUUCAAUUAGACAUUUAAUAUAAAGUCAGCUCAUUGAUACCCACAAAUCAAAAGACAUUUUAAAUUUUUGUAUAAAAACUUAAAUCUAUUGACAAACAGACUACGUGGAUAAACUAAUAACAUAUAUAAAUAGUUAGUCAUGCAAAUAUCACAAACACGCUGAAAUAAAUCAUCAACUCUCGAGUUAUGUUGUCCCCAACAUAAAUACUAGGAAUUUGUAUAUUUUUUUACUAGUGUAAAAAGCAUCAAUGAAUUAAAUGUCAUUGUUUAUUAUUUUUUAUAUAGUGUUAGCCAUUCUCUCAUCUUUUUUUAAUAAUUUUGCACUCAUGAGUCUCUAUCUAUGCAAGUCAUAUUCUCAAUCUUAAUUAAAGUCUCACUCUUCUUUCCAUUGGUGUGCCUAACUUCCCCCUUAUCUUCUCGACUCUUCCUUCAAUUUUGUAGUUUGGAAUGACAAAAUUGUAUGUAUCUUCAUAGUGAAGUUUCAAUACGCAACUACAAGGAUUUAGUUGUCACCUAAAGUAAAUACAUUAUAAAGUAAAUGUAUCCACAAUUUAAUGGUCCUUUUCAAAAUUAUUAUUAUAAAGGAGAGUUUAAUCUUCAAUUCUUUCUUCAAAAACACUCCUAUGAUUCUAUGAAAACAUUUUGAUGAAAAAUCAAUUAUUCUUUAAACAUAAACCAAAAGAUAUUUCCACAGAGUUUUAAAAAUUAAUUAUUUAAAAAAGCAUUUGGUAAAUGUUGUUGUUAAAAUCAUUAGUAUUUUUUUUUUUUUAAUGUAUCACGUUAUAAACAUCUCAUUUUUAUGAGAAAAUACUUUUUAGUGUUAAAAAACACUUUAAUCAUUCAGAAUCAAUCUUAGAAUCUGUAUGGAAUAAUUUUAAGAAGAGUUUUUAGGUCAAAAAGUUUUUUUAUUUUUUAAAUGAGGAGUUUAUCAAAUAAAUAUUUUUAAAAAUAUAAAAAAAUUAUUUAUAAUAUUAAAAAAUCUAUUAUAUAAUUUUUACUGAAAACGUUAAAUUAAUUAAAAAUGUGUUUAACAACAUUUUUUAUGAAAAUAUUUUCGGUAGAAGUGGUUUUUAAAAAAAUGUUUUUCAAAAAAUUGACUAAUUAAGUUUUUAUAAGUAAUUUUUUAUGUUUUAAAAAUGUUUUUAAAAUUUCGUAAAACAUGAAAUUUUAUUUUAAAAAUACUUUUUAAAUUUGAAGUGUUUUUUAAAAACAUUGUCAUGAUUGUCCAUAGAUUUUUAAUUGGUUUUUUUAAUGCGGAAUACUAUAAAUAUCUUUUAAAAUUUUAUAAAAAUUAGAAUCCCUACGUAGUACUAAAGUCCAUGAAAGUGUUUGGGUGGGUAGAAAUCUCCCAUCGAUCGUGUUAGUGCGCUUUAAUAAUGAGCGACACGACAAUUCAUAAAGGAGUACCACAAGUUGAAAAUUUCAAACCCUAUCCACAAAGGACGACUGAUAAAACGUGAGGCUGAGAUUUAAUAAUAAAAUUUAGUAUUAACGACACGCACAUCUUCUGACUCUUGUAUGGGUAAAAUGAAAUAUAAUAAAAUUUAUUUGUAAAAAUUAUACAAUAAUUGAUAUAAAAUAACAACAUUACCGUACAAAAAAAGGAGGGCCAAUAAAAAAAUGUUUUAUUUUUUAAUAUUUUUAUUCAAUGGUUCAGAUUUAAUUUCGAAUAACAAUAUUGAGAUUGAAAUUUCAAUUUAAAAUAGAAGGAUCGAAUAGAGAGGACAAAAUUGGUGAUAAUGAAGUUGGCAUGUGAACAUGUGGUGUAAGUGGUUGAGAUGAGGUGACAACGACGGGAGUGGACAGCAUUUUACUCGAAGUAAUGUUUUUCCCCACAAACUCCCCAACGUCUCUUUCAACCCCGACACUCGAGUUUGUAUCCAAAUUGAAUUUGAUUUCGAUUGAGCAUAUCUGAGUUUUAUGGCCGCAGAGAUGCAAAUGUAAAUUUCCUUACUCGAAUUAUGAUAUAGCCCCCUAUUGAUUGAAUUUAUCACAAUUUAAUGGUCCGUCUAAGUUAUGAUACAAUUUUUUGUUUAUGUUCUAGAAUAAAUUCGAUUGAUGGAAUAUUUUCUAUUUUAAAUCCAAAUAAAUAUUUAUAAUUUUAAAAUAUAUUUACAUGAUUAGAAAAUAUGAGAUCAAUUUUGAUACUAUUUAUAAUAGACUGUAUCUAAUCAUAUAAAUAUUAUCUGUUUUUAAAUCGAACUCUCUCUUCCAUCUAACUUGGAUAGAGUAUAUACACGUAAAAAAUUUAUAAAAGAGUUAUAAACAAAAAGACUUGUUAUAAACAAAAGAAUUACAUCAAUUUAUAACCGUUUUAUAAAUCUUUUAUUUAUAACUCUUUUAUUUCAUUAAUAAAAAAAUGGGUUAUAAUAUGAAAAGAAGAAGACGUGUCACAACAAUUUUCCCACUUAUCACACUCCAAACCAUAUGAAUGUAAGUUGUUUUGAAAAUUUAAACUCUAAGAUUUUGGGAUGUGACAACUACAACUUUUAGUGGUAUUUGAAUAGGGCACGGAAUUAAAUUUUUAACGUUUUGUCGUAUUCAAUCAAAAAACACAAGGAUUGGACCUUGAGAAUCCAUGAAAUUUAUACACUAAUUAUAGUGUGCUAGUUUUUGGGUAGGAAAGGACAUCUUCCUAGUUAUCAGAGAUUAGGGCUCUAUUUCCAUUAGAUUGGCUUAUGAAAAGUCCCAAUUUUUUUUUUUUAAGAUUAAUAUUUUCCUUUGAAGAUCAUGUGCAUGGCAACAAAAUGUUAUUAAAAAUAAGAUUUAAGUAUUAGGCUAUGGCAACAAAAUGUUAUUAAAAAUAAGAUUCAAGUCUUUGUUAAGUAAUAGGCUAUGUCAGAUUCUCGAAAAAUUUAAAGAGAGAAUAUAAAAUAAAUAUAAAGAAAGAGUAUAAGAUAGGAAAUUAAAAGUAAAAUAAAUAAAAAAAUAAAUCGAUAAAUUAUUUUUUAUAUACUGUUUUAAACUUAUUUUAUUUAUUUUAAUCAUCUUAUAUAAAAAUUAAAUAAUUUUAAAAUAUAUAAAUUUUUAAAUAAUUUUAAUCAUAUUUAAUUUUUUUUAAAUAUUUUUCAUAGUAAAAUCAAAUUUGAAAAAAAUUCAUUUUCGACAUCUUUUUCUUUUCUUAAUAAUUUUUGGAAAUUGAAAAAACAUUAAUGAAAUAUAAUUCAAAACAAAAAAAAAAACCUCGCACCAAAUCUAGAAGGACAACAAACUUAAAAUUUCAGGCAUGAUAAUAUCAUUUCAAUAACAAAUUUCUAUUUCUACUUUUUGCACCUAAAAGUAACGUACUGUCCCGAAUCAAACUUUAAUGUGUGCGCCAACCAAAUUAAAGUCCCAACUCCAACUCUGCCUGCCUUGAAAAAAGUGGAGCAAAAUGAAAAUGUGGAUGGAAAAUCAAAGCCUAGCGGAUUGCAUUUUUGUUUUGUUUUUUGGUGUGUGAUCUUGAAAACCCAACCUCAUGCACACAUUUGUACAUUGGAUAUAGCUGCUUAUAUGUUAACAUCAAUGAAUUAUCGAUAGUCAACAAUAAUCAAAGUUGUGGCUUCAAAAAGCAAGUGGGGAUAUUAGGUAAAAAUAAUGGUUUGUCAUAUGCCUUUUGAUGGAUUUCAAUAACUAAGCCAACCAACCAGGAGAUGGAGCUUUUAUAUGGAAUAUAUUUUCUAACUUUACUCACAAAUUUUGAAAUAAUACAACUGUUUUAAUUACACUUCUAUGGAAAUACUUGGACAAAGAUUCAAUUAGAGCAGUGUCAUGCUAUUAUAUUCUAUUUAUAUGAUACUAUAAGGGUUUUUCUACUCAUGGUUUAUAGGCCAAAAAAAAAAAAAAAAAAAGUCAUAGUUUUACAUUGAGCCUAUUUGGGACUGUUUUUUAGGAUAUAUUUUUAUUUUCUAGAAUAAAGAACACAAGAAACACGUUUGACAACUAAAAACUAUUUUUUAUUUUCUAAUCUUAAGAAUAUAAAAUAUGAUGUUUUCAUAUAACAUAUUUUAGUUAUUUUUUGUUAUUUUCACUUGUUUUCUGAUGAUUGUUUUAAGAAAUAAUUAUACAAACAUGUAGAAUGAUUAAAAAUGAAAUACUACAUAUAAAAAUUAUUUUUAAAAAUAUUAAAAAUAGAUUAAAAAUAUUUUAGGUUUUCAAACAUAUUUUUGUUCUAUAAAAAUCAUAAAACAAUUUUCAAAAACUGUUCUCAAAUACAAUUUUUUAGAAUAAUUUUCAAAAACAAUUACCAAACAAACUCUCUAUCAUUGUGUUUGUUAGUAAUUCUAAGAAGUGCUUCUAACCUUUUAGCACAUGAAAAUUUUAUCUUCAAGUAUUAUUAGAAAAGUUAAAAUAAAAAUUACCUAAAAUAAUUGUCAAACAUAUUUUUAAAGUUUAUUUGAUAAUGAUUCUAAAAAACGUUUCUAACAUUUUUAACACUUGAAUGAUAAAAAUUUUCAAGUAUUAAAAAUAUUAAAAGCGCUUCCUAAAAUCACUAUCAAACGGAUUCUUAGUCUUUCUAACACUUGAAAAUUUUUAUCUUGUAAGUAUUAAAAAACUAAAAACACUUUCUAUAAUCACUAAGUACACAUAUUUAGAGUGUGUUUGACAAUAAUUUUAAAAAGUGUUUUUAAUCUUUUUAAUACUUGAAAAUUUUCAUUUUUCAAAGUAUUAAAGAUAUUAGGAACACUUCCAAGAAUCAUUAAUAAAUAUAUUUUUAGAGUGCGUUUGAGAGUGAUUAUAGAAAGCGUUUUUACUAUUUUUAAUACUUAAAUGAUAAAAAUUUUCAAGUAUUAAAAAUAUUAAAAGCGAUUCCUAUAACCAGUGUCGAACGACCUCUCAAUAUUGUAUAAAGAAACAAGAAUUCCACGUUAGCAGCACCUCAAAUUCAUGGAAAACAAAAUCGAUGAUAAUGAACUUGGCAUGUGAACGUGUAGAGAAAUUAAAAUGUGGAGAAAUUGAUGAUAAUGAAGACGGCAUGUGAAAUGUGAAGUGGGCUGAGACUUGAGAUGAGGUGACAACAACAGGAGCGUACAGCAUCUCACUCAAAUUCAUGGACAUUUCCCACGAACUUUCAAAGACUACCAACAAUGGCUCUAGUUGCUCUAGUACACCAACCGACCUCCUCUGUUUCGAAAAUAUUCAAAAAUUAUUUUGUAAUAUAAAAGUUUGUUUACUUUUUAAUUUCUUCGUCCUAUUUAAUCAUUCUUUAUAUCUAUAUAAUUAUUUUUUUAAAUAAUUUUAAAAAACAAUUAAAAUAUAUUAUUUAAAAAUAUUUCAUUUUUUAUUUUUAAGGACAAAAAUCUAUUUUUUUUAUUUUUUAUAUAUUUUUUAUUUUUUCAAUAAAAACUAUUUUUUAAAAUAAUUCUAGAAAAACAUUUAUUGAGAAAAACUUGAUAUACACUUAACCUAAAAAAUAACUUUUAUAUCUAAUACUUUAUUUUUAAUAAUUGUGUUUGUACAAUUAUUUUUAAAAAAAUGAAAAUAACUAAAAAAAAAAAAUUUUUAAACGCCUUAUUUUCUAUUUUUCAAUUGUUUAUCGUGUUUUUUCUGAUUUUUUUUUUUUUUUUACUCUAAAGAAUAGAAAGCUCAUUUUAAAAAUAUUUUCCAAAAGAUUGCCUUAGAUUUUAUGUCCAAAUUCAAUCCAUUCAACACUGAAAAUAGUGCAUAGUUUGGGUUGGAAAGUAAAUCUGUUUUUGAGGCUAUUGUUAAAGUGUCACCAAUUCAUUCCAUUUAAACAAGUCCAAAUUCUUCAACCUUUUCUACCAUGACCACUUACAAAAGACUGAGAGGCUCUGUCUGGUUUGACCUUUUUGAAAAGAUCAAUUUUUUUAUAAGUUUUUGCAUAUAUUUAAGUAAUUUUGUUAAAAGACCUUCACAUAAAAAUAAGGAAAAUAUUAUUUUUGUCCCAAAAUAUAUAGGGUUUCUAAUAGGAAAAGGUCAUCCUACCCUUUCUAUUUAUUUAUUUAUUUAUUUUCUAAUUCAAUUAAAUCUUAAUACAUGAGCCUAAUAGUUGAAUUUGAAUGUCUGGCCUAAUUUAAUUGACCUAUAAACAACUUUGGAUAACUUAAACCCAAACCAAAAUUAAAACCAUUCUAUAUUUAAAUAACCCAAUUAUUUAUUACCUUAAAUUAAAUUACAAAAUAACCUAAGUUCCUAGUUGGGGUGUCACAAGAAUGAAAAUUUAAGAGUUAUCAAUACUUAAUACAAGAUGUACAAUAAGUUUCCAAUUUGAUCUAAGCUCUUAGUCGAUGGGUCAACAAUGUACAUCAAAAUCACUUUCAAUUAACAAUACAUUUUUUAAGAUUAUUAAGCAAUAUAUAUUAAACUCACUCAAGGUUGGACUCUUACCAUCUCACAUCAAGGUAACCUCGAAUCAUGUUCAUUGGUUGAUUCCAAUCGAAUUCUAGGGAUAUAACCCUUGUUUCAAGCAGUUGUCGCACAAUAUUGUGCCUUAGGCGUAUAUGUCUGUUAUUCCCAUUAAAUAUCUUACUCUUAGCCUUAGCAAUUGUAGCUUGGCUAUCACAAUGCAUAGACACAGACGGGGCUGGUCUCGUCCAUAAAGGGAUAUUUGCUAAGAGGUUUCUAAGCCACUCAGCCUUAAAACUUGCAUUUUCUAAGGCAAUAAACUCAGCCUCCAUAUUAGACCGAGUAAUGCAAGUUUGCUUGGCAGACUUCCAAGAAACUGCACUUCCACCAAGAAUGAAAACAUAUCCACUAGUGGAUUUCAUCUCAUCUGAAUCUAAAAUCCAAUUUGCAUCACUAAAUCCUUCAAGGACACUUGGAAAUCCACUAAAGCACAAACCAUGGUUAAUGGUGCCUCUCAAAUACUUAAAGACUCUAUGAACAGUAGUCCAAUGGUCCUAAUUAGGACUUUAGGUGUACCGACUCAAUCUACUUACUGCAUAAGCAAUGUUAGGUCUGGUACAAUUCAUUAAGUACAUUAGGCUCCUUAUGAUUUAAGCAUACUCUAUUUGGGUAACACUAUGUUCUCUAUUUUUCUUCAGUUGUGAGCUGGGAUCAUAAGGAGUUGACACUGGUUUACAAUCAAAGUGUUCAAACUUCCUUAGGAUCUUUUCAACAUAGUGCUCUUGAGAAAGUUUAAGCCCAUUAGGUGUUCUAGUUAUUUUAAUUCCUAGAAUCACAUUUGCCUCUCCUAGGUCUUUCAUAUCAAACUUAAAACCUAGGAAUUUCUUGUAAGGUAUUUUAUUUUGAAUAUGGCAUGCGAAUAGGAUAACCUCCCCCCACAACUUCAAGGGUGCUCCUGAACUUACCAACAUUGCAUCAAAGGUUUUAGGACCUAGUUUUCGUUUUUUUAAGUUCAGGGAGAAGAACUUUAGCUAAACACCCCCACACUUUUAGGUAUGCUAUAUUAGGUGCAUAACCCUUCCACAACUCAUUAGGAGUUUUACCAGUUUUCCAGGUUGGUAAUAGAUGAGAACCAUCUUCUGGUUUUAGGUUAGUCAAAAUGUGUUCCAAGUUCACCACAUCAAUUGCAGAGAAAACCCUUUAGGUUAGUUCCAAAGAUCAGCAUGUCAUCAACAUAAAAAAAGAUGACUACACAUGUGUUAUCCUCAUACUUGCUAUAGAUACACUUAUCAGCAUUAGUAAUGGAAUAUCCAUUAGUUACUAACACAUGAUCAAACUUGUUAUGCCACUGUUUAGAAGCUUGUUUUAACCCAUAUAGCGAUUUAACCAGCUUACACACCUUUUUCUCCUUCCUUGGAAUUACACAACCCUCAAGUUGAUCCAUAUAAAUUUCCUCUUCCAAAUCCCCACUCAAGAAUGCGGUCUUAACAUCCAUUUGGUGUAUCAUCAAAUUAUGAAUGGAAGCUAGAGCAAUCAAUACUCUAAUUGAUGUUAUUCUAGUCACAGGGGAAAAUGUGUCAAAGUAAUCUACAUCCUUCAUUUGUUUAAAGCCUUUGGCAACUAAACGAGUUUUAUACUUCUCUAUGGACCUAUCUUGUUUUAACUUUCUUUUAAAGAUCCACUUCCAACCAAUAGUCAUUGCACUAGGGGGUAAAUCUACUAACUCCCAGGUAUGGUUAUACAUUAUUGAUUCGAUUUCACUGUUAAUGGCCUUCUUCCAUAAUGGUGCAUCAGGAGAAGUUAUAGCUUCUUUGUAGGAUCUAAGGUCCUUAUCUUUUAGGUUUAGGGAGAAGAACUUUAGCUAAACACCCCCACACUUUUAGUUAUGCUAUAUUAGGUGCAUAACCCUUCCAUAACUCAUAAGGAGUUUUACCAGUUUUCCAGGUUGGUAACAGAUGAGAACCAUCUUCUAGUUUUAGGUUAGUCAAAAUGUGUCCCAAGUUCACCACAUCAAUUGCAGAGAAAACUCUUUCCUGUCAUCUCUUAAAGAAUGUCUCAUUGAAGGGAUCAAUUUUAGAGGUGUCAAGACAGGUGUGAACUAGGGAAGGUUCCAUUUGGAUAUAUUUCAAGAUUGUUGGAAUUUAAGGGUAUGGAAACAAAAUACUAGCCCAAAUUACACAAACAAAGAACAUAAUGAAUAAAAAGAAAAACUUGUCAGUUGAGGCGUGACAAACACUGUCCUUAAAAUAGAUCCACCCUCCUCGAAGACGAACUUGGUGCACUAGGGUAUCAGUGGUCUACUUUCAGGAUUCAACAGUCAGAUCUCACCUUGGGUGCACUCUGAAAGCGAGAUGUGUAUAACUCAGGUUUUUGAAUAAAUUCCUCCAAAUAGUUGUAUGAAAAUACUCCCUAAAAAACUCUCUGAAAAAAAAAAUUCUAAAAAAUUGGUAUCUAUGUAUAGAGAAGGGUGACUUGCUUUUAUAGGCCACUAACACAGUCCCAAUGGGAAUCUACUUGUAAUUAGAAGAUGAUACAAAGUGGAAGGUGAUUCUACUUAUAAAAUGAAUGAGACUCCACUAGCACAAUCCCAAAAGGACUCUUCCCAAAAAUAUAACACUAAUAGAAUAAAAUAAAAUAAAAAAUAAUUCUCAAUAGGACACUUCCCAAAAAUAUAAGAUUAAUAGAAUAAAAUAAAAUAAAUUAAAUUAAAUUAAAAUUAAUUUCCAAAAAUAAAAAUAGAAAUUAUUUACACUCUUCCUACAAUAACUUCCAUCUUGGCAGGGUAAGCACAUGAACCCAUAGCAAGCAUUUUGAUUCCAUACUCUGAAGCCAUGGAACUAACUGAUAGCAUAGUCAUUUGCAAACCAGUAUCAGGUGGCUCUAUGAACCCAACAAGAACUCUAGGGCCAGCGAUUGCCAGUGCUGACUACAAGGGGAUUUGGGUGUAUGCGGUUGGACCAGUAUCAGGCACACUACUGGGGACAUGGUCCUUUAAUUUGAUUCGGGUCACAGAGAAGCCAGUGCAAGCAAUAUCUUCUCACUCAUUUUCACUCAAACUAAGCAUAAUGAGGAGCAAUGCUUGGGAGAUUUCCAGAAAAGAUCCUCUGAAUCAUCUAUAAUAAGACUCAAUCUAUAAAUGAUGAUGAAUACUAUAAGCUAAUAAGCCUAUGGCAUUUAGUUUGCCCUUGAUGCCCAUAAGAGCUUGUAUCUGUUGUACGUUUUAUAUCUACAUGCAUAUGAUGUAUUAUAGUAUUGAUUGAAAGAAUUUAGUCAUUAAAAAUUGAAAAUGAAAAGGCAAAAUGACAAAAACUUUCUCUCUCAAAAGCAUUAUUUAAGCGAUCAAUAAGUGGGCAUCAGAACAUAUUAGUACAUCUAGUCAGACAUUCCUGACCUAAUAAAAAAACUGCAACUAAGAAACAUGUCCAUAUAUGUGUUUGUCUCGUAGACAUUAAUUACACAACUCAAUCAAUUGCAAUACAAUAGAUAUCAAAAGGCAUUCUCCAAUAAACAUGUGACCAACAUUUGUGAGGUAAUAUGGCAUCGAUACAGGCAAAAAAGGUUUGACCUAGGAUUGAAUGAUGCAUACUAGACCCUAAGUAGUUUUUUUCACAAACUACAAAAGACCCAGGGUUGAUGGUAAUGCUCUUAGUGCAAUUGUCAGUUUUAUAAAUCCCAACAAGUCGAUCCACCAGCUCAAACAUGUUGUUUCUAAGGCUGCAAUUUGUAAGACACCCAAAAUAAGGAAAAACUUGAAAAAAAUAAUAUGUAGUAAGUUUAGUGAUAAUUCAACAUCCCAUCCAAUCUACCUUAUGAUUAUAAAUUGUGCAUCAUUUGUUCGGUCUUUCACAUAGUGUCCUACAAUUGAAACAUUCUUGAAAUCUGCCACAGCAUAUGAACCAAAUAAGGGAGAAACAUAAUAUAAAAUUUUAGAAAAUAAAUGGCAUUCAAAAAUUAAAGCUCAUCAAUCCAAUUUGUAGUACCUAGAGCAGCAUCAAUCUCAUCCAUAACAUAAAGUGGGAUGGGUUUGUAGUGAUGAAGAGCAAAAACAAGAGCCAACAAGCUGAGGUCUGAAUGCAACAAAAUCAAACAACAUUAUAGGACCUCCCCACAAGUCUCUAGUAUCUUUCCUUAUCGGUUGAUACUUGAUUAGGCUCAACACACAAUUUCAGACCUUCUAUUGGUGUAUCAACAGGUUGACAUCCCGACAUUCUAGUCUCCUGUAAAAAAUCUAAGGCAUACUUUCUUUGAGAUAGAAAAAUUCCUUCAUUUGAUCGAGAAACUUCAAUCCCAAGAAAGUAUUUCAGAGAACCUAGAUCUUUCAUUUCGAAUUCUCUAGACAUAUAAUUCUACAGAGCUUUUCUUUUUUCAGGAUCAUUUCUUGUAACUACCAUGUCGUCCACAUAUACGAUGAGUGUUGUAAUCUUACCAUGUUAUUUUUUUAAGAACAAAGUGUGAUCUGAAUUACUUUGACGAUAGCCAAAAGCUCUCAUUGACUUUGUGAACCUUCAAAACCAUGCUCUCGGGGAUUGCUUCAACCCAUACAAUUACUUCUUCAAUUUGCACACCUUCUGACAUUGCUUUUCUGACACCAUGCAUCAUGGUGGAAGAUCCAUAUAUACUUCUUCAGAUAACUCGCCAUCAGAAAGACAUUUUUCACAUCAAACUAUUGUAAUGGCCAAUUCAAGUUUGCAGUUAAAGACGGUAAUACUCGAACUGUGUUGAUCUUAGCUACAAGUGCAAAUGUCUUUAUGUAGUCAAUUCCAUAAGUUUGAGUGUACCCUUUUGCUACCAGUCUUACUUUAAAUCGUUCAAUACUACCAUCUGCCUUGUACUUCACAGUAUAGAUCCAACGACACCCAACUGACUUCUUUCUUGGUGGACAUUCUACGAGUUCCCAUAUUUCAUUAUUCUACAAUGAUUUCAUUUCUUCAUUCAUGGCUGCUUUCCACCUUGGAUUAGUUGAGGCUUCGUGCACACUGUUAGGAAUAACUACAGUAGAUAAUUGAUUUACAAAUGACUCAUUUGAUUCAGACAAACGAUGGUUAGACAUAUAGUUGCUCAUGGGAUAUUUGACUUUGAUAGACAAUUCAAGUUCAUAUGUGGGUUUAGGAAUACCUCUAUUAUGACGGUGUGGUAACCGUUUCAUGAAUGGAUCAGGUUCCAAAUUAAGAAUACCCUCAGUAGACGACAAUUGGUUUGGUAUUUCAGUGAAGGCAUCUUCGGACCCAAAUUGUUCAGAUGGUGGUGAUGGUUCAAUUGUACUGUCUCUUCCAUCUUCUAUCACUUCUUCAAUUUCUGGGUGGUCAUUACUACUUGAUUCCAAAGUUGUACCACUCAUAUCCAAUUCACCCGCUUCUUGGUUUACUAGUUCAGAUUGUCCAGAUUCAUCCUCCUUAAAGAUAUGAUAAUCAUAAUCGAGAGUCUGAAUUUCCUUAUGGUACCCCCCCUAAAGUUCAGACUCAAAUGAAAAAUACAUCGAAUCUUCAUGAAACACCACAUCCAUUGUAAUAAACAUUCGUCGAGUUGGAGGAUGGUAACAUCGAUUUCCUUUUUGGUGCAAUGUAUAUCCAACAAACACACAUUUCAAUGCACGAUAAGUUAACUUGGUGCGUUGGUGUUUGUGUAGAUGCACAAAUGCCACGCAACCAAAAACACGAGAAGGUAGAUUUGGGACGGUUGGGGCAACCACGACAUUAGUAAGAGCUUGGAGAGGUGUUUGGAAGUCAAUUGAGCUAGAAAGUACUCGAUUGAUCAAGUAUGCGGCAGAUGUGAUUGCUUCUCCCCAAUAAGAUAUCAACAUUUUUGCUGCUAUCAAGGAAGCAUGAACAACCUCUAACAAGUGUUGAUUUUUACAUUCAACGACUCCAUUUUGCUGGGGUGUAUUGGAACAAGUAGUCUAAUGAAUGAUGCUAUGUCCUUCUAAAUACUUCUAAAGAUCAAAACUCUGAUAUUCUCCACCAUUAUCGCUAUGCAAAACCCGAACCUUUGCAUUGUACUGAGUUCCAAUCAUUUUAUGAAAUUUUUGAAACAAUAAGUUCACUUCAUCUUUGGUCUUCAUCAAGUAUAACCAGGUCAUUCUGGUAUAAUCAUCAAUAAAAGUAACAAACCAAUGCGAUCCACUCAAAGUUAGGACUUUGGAUGGGCCCCAAACAUCAGAAUGUAUAACCAUAAAAGGAAGCGGACUUUUAUUCAAAAUUAACGAAAACGAAGCACGAUGGCUUUUAGCCAAUUCACAAAUAUCACAACGGAAACUAGAAACAUCACUCAUUGCAAACAAACUAGGAAACAAUUUUUUAAAAUAACCAAAGGAAGCAUGUCCUAGACGUCGAUGCCACAACCAAAUUUUAGACUUUUUCUUCUCCCCCUUAGACUCAUCUGUCAUCAAGGUUUGUCGUAACUUAUUGGAAUCCUUUGACUGCAAAUCCAAGUAAUAGAGUUUUCCCCACUUAAUACCACAACCAAUCGUCCGUCUUGUUUGAAUGUCCUUAAAAACACAAAAUUCAGGCAAAAAAAUAACAAUACAAGAUAAGGCUGCAAUGAUUUGAGAAACUAACAAAAGAUUGUAAUCGAAAUAUAGAACAACUAAAACAGAAUCCAAAUUCAGAGUAUCAAUAAGAGUUAAGGAUCCUUCCCCAAUGACUGGGGUUGUGUUACCAUUGGUUGUAGAAACAAUUUUUUGUGAGGAAGGUUUAAGAGGUGAGACCUGUCUAGAAUAAAAAAUCAUAUGAUCUGUAGCACCAAAAUCAAUUCUCUGUGUACUAUUAAUAACAGGUGUAGAAGUAUUUAAAACCUUACCACCAUAAUCUGUAGUGGCUACCAAUGUAGAGGCUUUCUCAACAAUAUUAUCCUCUGUUUUUAUUUCAGCAACAGUUGUAGUCAAGGUUUUUUUGGAAUCCUUCUUCCGUUAAUCACGAUUAUGAUCCCACUAGUCUGGAUAUCCCACAAGUUCAAAGCAAUGACUCUUGGUAUGACCAGUCUUAUUGCAAUGAGUACAUUUGAAGGUUGACUUAUCAAUAUUAGGGGUUGUCUUAGGAUGGUUGGUCUUGGAUUGGUCCUGCCAAUUCUGGGUUGAUCGUUGUCGGAUUACCAUAGCUGAGGUGUCAGUAUUGUCAGAUUCUGCUUUCAUACUAGCAUGAUGCACUGCCUCUCGUCGAAUCAGUGCAUAGCAUUUUUCCAAAUCGGGAAUAGGAUCUUUGCAUAGAAUCUCUCCUCAAACUUGCUCAAAGUCACCAUUCAAUCCAGCAAGAAAGAUGUGCACCCGUUGUUGUUCAAUGGAUUUCCAGUAUGCUACAAUGUCAUCAGGGUCUUUCAUGACUACCUUAUCCCGAUGAUCUAAUUAGCAAAAAAUCUUAGUUAACUCUCCAUAAUAUUCAGAAAGAGACCUGCCACUUUGUUUGGCAAUGAAGGCUUUUUUAUUCAGAGUGAAAACUUGUAAUUCAUCACUUCCAUCAUAGAAGGCCUUUGAUAAUGCACUCCAAAUUUCUUGAGUGGUGGGUAAGCGUAAAUAACGCUUCAUAAUUUCUGGACUCAUGGACAUUAACAACCAUCUCUUCACCUUUUGAUUCUCUGCAUACCAUUUUUCAUAUCCAUUUUCGACUCUUUUGGUGGCUUUGUCUUACCUCGAAUGUAGGAAAGUUUUUCCCAUUCGGUAAUAUGCAUUUCCACGAGUUGUGACCAAACGUCAUAGUUUGAUUCAGUCAAAAUAAUUCCUGGAUUAAAAGUACCUUCAGAUUGAAAAACAAUAGUAUUUUUUUCACCUUUUUUUUUUUUUUGAUAAGCAAAUUAAAAUAUAAAUAUGACACACACUUUUCCUCGACGCUUGUUCUUCUUUAACAAAUUUGUAGAUCGAUGAUGACCGAUGUCGGAGCAAGAAAUGGCACUGAUCUUUGGCGUGGUGCAGGUAUACACGAAAAGAGGUUGAUGAUCUUUGUCAACAGUCUCCUAUUAUUUUGUGGAAGUUUGCAAGGGAUUUUGUCUCAAAAGAGGUUUCUAAGGUUGGCUUUGAUACCAACUUCAAUUUGAUGAAUGGUGGUUUUUCAUUCAUACUUUCAUUUGUUCACGUACAAAGUAUAUAUAGAGGGCAAGCUAUACAGCUAUACAAUCAUAUCUGUUAAUUAUGUUGACCACCUAUAAUCAAGCACUAUAAUCAAGCAUAAUCACCUAAGAAUGGGAAAGAAUGAUUACAAGGAUUUGUAUAGCUAAUAUCCUAAUAUCUCAACAUAGCACAAUCAGUGGAUUCUAGAUAUUACCUUUUCACCACCUGAUAAGUUUGCAACAAGUUCAAGUUCCGCAUCACCUCCUAGUGUGAUCAUCUGUAGCAAGUGCAUUAAGGGACAAGCAUUGAACAAUUAUUGCAUUAAAAAAAAGGAAGGACAGAAAGAAAGAAAAGAAAAGAAAAGAAAGAAACAAAGAAAGAAUAAAAAACACAGCACAAGUAAAAGCCAAUUAUGAAAUCCCAACUGCCAGCAGUGUCAUUACUAUAGAAGGAAUUAAAGUAGCAUGACAAAUUAGGCUACUGAGUUUUAGAGGAAGAUGAAUCAGGAAAAGUAAAUGUUUGUGGCGGAUGAAGCUGUGCAUCAUUGUGGUCUAAAAUUUCCUAUGACUAUACCAUUAAAAGUUCACAUAAAACAAGCUAAAAGAAGAAAGAAAGCAAUCCUGAAAAGUUAAUGCCCAGGAAAGAAGAUGCAAUCUUCCAUUGUUUCAAGAUGCUCAGGAUCCUAAUCAAGUACCCCCACACGGUGCAGCAAGACCAGGACCAAAAAAAAAACAUUACAAAAACUAAAUUAGAUAUUCAAUAGGACCAUUUAUACAGAGCACUCUAGUGGAACCAGCCACAAAAGUGAAUGAGGCUACACAACAGUUAUAACCUAAACUUAUUUGUCCAGAAUGUCCGUGCACUAUACGGUUGCAUGUGCAUCCUUGUGUAAGGAGAGGGUGUUUCAAACCACUCAGUUUACAAACCUGAUACAUUUCUUUCAACUUCAAAGAUAUUGUGUGGAAUCCUGCCAUGAACUCGUCCAUCCUAAAAAUAUCCAAUUGAGUAGCAUAAAGAAGUUACAUCAACAGGAACAUGCAAGACAAGUAAUAAAAAAUAUAAACAAGGUAAAAUAGACAAGCCUUCUCUUUUUCCAUUCAUCAUAUUGCUUCUUCACAUCAUCACGCUCUUGAGUGACCGUGUUAAGAUCUUGCAUACCUUUCUCCGGUAUCUAUAGUAAUUAGAGAAGUUGUCAAAUAAAAUAUGCAUAACCACACAAAUUUCAGCUUACAUCAUAUAUGCAAAGCAGAGAAAAUGCAUACUCUGAAAUGGAAUCGAGAUUGGGAUUCAUCUCUUUCAAUUGUGCUUCAAUCAAUGCUACCAUUUCAAGGGCCCUCUUUAGGCCACAAUCCUCGGUAAGAGUCUUGUCUGCCAGUGUCGCUUGAAGCUUUUCAGGGUCCACCAGAUCUUUCUGAAUUCUGUAACCAAAAAAAAAAAAAUAGUUGACAUUUUCAGUCAUAAACAUAACAGAUUUCUAGAGGUCACAUAGACCAAGGCAUACUGUUCCAUAUGCUUCACAAGAGCAACUUGCAAUUCGUCAAGCUUUCUCUUGUAACCCUUUCCCUUCAUUUCCAACUCCUUGUAGAGUUUCUUCAUGUCUUGUAAUUUGUAGUCAGCAUCAACCUGGAAUAUCACCAAAGAAUUGCUAAAAUGUUUUAAACAGUAGUUGACCAAAACCAAGUAAAGGAAAAUAUAGAGAUGCAUUCAUUGGCACCAGACCUCAGAUGCCCUCAACUCAUCCACGAUUUUCUUCAACUUUUCGUAGUCAGAUUUUGCUUUAUCCAAUACAUCUUUAUGCUGAUCAAUUAGCUAUAGAAAAAAAGAAAGAAAAAAAAAAUAUUCACCAGUUAUAAAGCAACUCACUCAUGUAACUCAUCAUAAACGAUGCCAAACAAAUAAAAACAAACCUCCUGUGUUUUGUUAUAGUUGUCUUGAACAGUAAAUGCCUUCUGUUCUAUAUCUUUAUGGGAUAAAUGCAACUUCUCCUUCUCGUCAACCACUCGGUCUUUCUCCUUCUUUGACUCUUCUAUCCCCUUUUUCAACUUCUUCACCAUUUUUUGACCUGUCUCUAUUUGAACCUUGUGGCGAUUGAUCUCUGUAUUGCUUUUAUCAAUAUCCCGACAAGAAGGAAGCACAUAUCAAAAGAAGUAUCAUUUACAGGAUUUGGCAAUUUCUGAUUGAUUGAUAUACUUACAAAUUGAAUUUUGUUGACUUUUGACUUUUGCAAUUUCAAUCUUCACCACCUGCAUUUUCAAUUUUACUCUGAAGCUCCAAAGCCUUGAAAACACAGAAUUAGAGAAAGGUCAAGCAAACACCAUCAACAAAUCAAAUGCAAAAUUCUGCACAUUGCCCAUGUAUUCAGUUCUAUGAAGAAUGAACAUCUACAUAAUGUCUUGGAGUGGAUACCAUAACAUAAGAACAAGUCAGAAACACAGCUCAAUUGUUUUUGUAGUGUUGUGUUCUGAACUGAUUGUGUUACAAGAGUAAUCAAAUGUAAUCCUUUGACAUUUAAACAUUUCGACUUCACUCAAUGUGCCCAUGUCAAGAUGACAUGACAAGGUUAUGAGUGUGGGAUCAUUUAGUCCUAUUUUGCUUCAGACAUUAAUUAUAGAAAUUUUUAAAAAAAGAAAGGACAAAAGAAAGAAGAAAGAGAUUUCUCUUAACACCUAGGAUGCAUUAUUUUUGCUUCUAAUUGACUUCUAUCUUAUCUUUUCCUUGCAUUAUGUUGUAUCCAAAUAUCACUCAAGAUCCCUUUUUAGCCAAGCCUCUACAUCCUAGGCACAUCUAGACCCCACAAGUGUACCAAUGUAACAUAGAUAUAUAAUUCAGUUACCAGCUCACCUUAUCCUUCAACUGCUUAGACCCUUCUAUGAGUCUUUCGAUCUCUUUUUCUUCUGCAGAUAUAGUUUUAUUUAACUCCUCCAGCCUAUUUAGCUCAUCUUUCCUUGGCUUUGAUGCAGCUUUCAGGGAAUCAAGCUGUUUUUCAAGAUAACUAUGCUGCGACUUUAAACUGUCUAUCUGUUUCAGAAGAAAAUUUUUAGUUAAUAUUUAAUAAAAAUGCCCUCAAAAUACAGAUGAAUGGACACAGAAUCUAUUCUCAAGUGUUACCUCUUUAAGGAUUUUGGUCAAUUCCAUUUCCAAACGAGCAACUGCUUUUUCCGACCCCUGGUAAAAAAAAAACUUUAAUGUAUUAAAAAAUAAAAUGAAAAAAUUAAAUUAAACAACUUUUUAUUAAUUAUAUAUAGAUGGAACGAGAUGUGGUGGGGCGGAGUGGAACAAGACAAUACUCAACUUGCCCUAAACUCAAUGGAUUAAUCAUUUUUCCUAACCUGUCUUAUUAGGGCUAGGAUAGGUAUUAUAAAAAACCGGUUUAUUAACAUUCCUAUCCAUUCCUUGAAAGAUAAAUUAAGGUUAAUGAAUUGGAAGUAAUUGAAAAUUUGUAUUUUAAAUGUGUGUUUUUAAGAAUGAAUAUUAUUAUUAUUUUUUUUAAAAUCUCACCAAAUUAAAAAAAAAAAAAAAAAGUAAUCUUCACAAUAUUGUAAGAGAUUAAUUCCCUUGGAUAACUUUUAGAAGAAGUAAAAGUAAAACUAAUUAAAAUCAUAAGAAAUAGAAGCCAAAAUACUUAUUAGAUGUACCUUUUUUUUAAAAGAAAAAAAAAAGAUAAUGUUUGAAAAAUAAAAUCAAUAAUAAUUUUGGUAUGUUAAGCAUUGCAAGUUAUAUUUGCAACAAUUAUGCUAAGAGGAAAUGAUGGCUCAAAGAGUAUCCUAGUGAAUGUAUUUGAUCAAAACCUGUGUUAGUCUUGUGUGCUUCAAAUUUAGUAUUGACUUAAAAAAAUGAGCUCGAAAUUGUGUUUGGCUUAGGAAUUAUGUUAGCUUUGAGAUUUGGUAUAAACUUAAUAGGUAUAUGGCUUGAAAUUUAGGAAAUAAGCUCAAGAUUUUAUUAGCUCAAUAUUUGUGUUAGCCCUCAAUUACUUUGAUGCAACUCUAAUUAUAUAAAAAUUUUCAGCAUGACCUCAAUGAUAGUAAAUUAAUUAUUAGAUGACAUGUUUAAUGUGUUAACCAUAAUAAGUGGUAUCAAAUCCAUGCUACGGGGUGCAGCUUCCCAAGUGUCUCUUGUGUCAUAGGAUCAAAUAGUCAGGACAAUCAAUUUAGGUGUGCCCAUCAUUGCAAUUAAUGUAGACAUAAAUUCAGCUUGAGAUUAUAUUGGCUUGGGAUUGAAUGAGAUUUAGCUCAUUACCUCACGGUUAUAUUCAUGUGACUUGGAAUUAUAUUAACUCAUAAUUGUAUUAGUGUGGACAUGCAAUUAUACUAACUCAUAAUUGUUUUCGUGUGACUCAAAUUUGUGUUAGCCAUGAGAUUUGAUUUUGACAUUGGAAAGCAAGCUCGAGAUCAUUUUACUAAUCACAAUAUUCAAAACUAAUUUUGAUAAUCUAGUAGUUAAAUAAACUCAUGCGAUCGCUCUUGUACCAUUGGGAGUUUGAUACUAAACUUUGUGUUAGACGUUAUUACAAACAUUUUAUGAUGAAUAGAAAGGGAUACACACGCGUGCCAUGAACAAACUUUUAUUUCCACACUUAACCACAUUGGGAGUUCGAUUACAAAAUUUUUGUCAAUAUAGAAAGGAAGACACGCUUAAUCACAACUGUCCUAUUAUUUCCACUAUGGAUGUGUAGGUACCCAUGAUACCAGCUGAAGUACCCAUCAACAUAACCCCAAUCAUAAUCACUAGUUCAAUUCCAAAUUUGUGGUAAAUGCCUGAAAUCUUCAAGUAGCAUAAGCACGGCAACAAGAUUGAACCCGUGACAGUCGAAAAUGCUACCACCAUGGACAUGAGAGACCCAAAAAAUGGGACUGUCAGAGCUACAAUGAUAGUACUGAACACCAAAGCGGUUCUUAUUAGAAGGCUAAAUGAUCUUCUGUUGCAGUAGUUUGGAAAGCAGUUUUCUGUAGCAUUCACAAUUGGUGCAACCAUCAAUGCAUAUUUGGAUAUGGGAUUGACUAGAGUAGUGUAUAUGGCCACUCUUGAGCUAAGUUUCUCAAUUGGAAGGUUUAAAGUUAUUUGUGAUUGCACCUCUGAACCAAACAUUAAGUACCCCAAAACUGCCAUUGCUGCAUAAGCAAUGGUGCAGAAGAUAAAGCAUACAAGCAAGACUGCAAUGAGAAAAUACAAUAUUGAAGAUCAGUUACAUCAUCUCAAGUAUGAAUGUACGUGUGUGUGUCUAUAUAUAUAUAUAUAUAUAUAGAGAGAGAGAGAGAGAGAGUAACAUGUAAUGUUCCACUUACAGUAGAAAACUGGUUUUUCUUUCUCAUAGAAGUGUAUAAAGUAGGAAAGACUGGAUGGGCACAAUAGCAGAAAGCGUAUAAACUGAAGGCAGUAGGGAUUCCUUUCCAAUUCAGAGUUGUCCCUUUCCCAUGAAAUCCAACUCCAUCAAAUACUCCAGUCCAUAAAAUUGAGCCAAGGAUGAUUAUACAAGCAAAAACACCGCUUGCUGAGAUAUAAGAAAGCAUGUUUAAAUUGUAGAAACAGACCGAUGGCAGAAUCACAAGGCCAGAAAUCAGUAUGAAGCUUUGUCUACCAUCAAUUACUUGCCCAAAAAUUUCAAAUCCCACCAUGGGGAAUAAAUUAUGCAGAUUAUCCCCUUCUAGUAUUAGAAAACCAGUUGCAACCAAGUAAAGCUCCAAAUACAUGAAGAUUGAUACCAUUAAUCUUCCUUUCUUCCCAAAUGCUUGCUCACCUAUAUCUGGGUAAGUUCGGAUAUUUAGAUCAACAUCCAUACAUCUUUGAAGUAGCAAACCUGUAUAGAAAGUUGCAAGGGUGAUAACAAACAGAAGCAUCAAGCUCAACCACCCUCCUGAUGCAAGUGCAUAUGGAACCGAAAGGAUCCCAAUCCCUACAAAGAUAGUUAACACGAAAAAUGUUAGUUUUUUUUUUUUUUUUCAGUUUGUUAGAAAUAUAGAAUAAUUGUAUUCUAUUCUGUGAAUAAAAGAGUAUACAUCAGUGCCUUUAUAUAGGAGGCAUAUAUGUGUAGUACAAGGGUGCAGUACAAAGGUGUAGUACAAGUGUAGUACAAAGGUGUAGUACAAGUGUAUAGUACAAGUACUAUACAAGUAACCUAACUGGGCCCCUGGGCCUAGAGCCCACAAUACAAUAUACUUUAACAGCCCCCCUCAACUUCAAGGUGGAUGUGAGACCAACUUGAGGUUGUCAACUAAAUCACGAGUGCGUCUCUUAGGAAGAGACUUGGUGAAGAUAUCUGCAAGUUGAUCUUUGGAGGAGACGGAGAAAAGCUUAAGAGCACCAUGGAGAAGAUGAUAACGGAUAAAAUGACAAUCAAUCUCGAUGUGUUUAGUCCGUUCAUGAAAGACAUCAUUGUGAGCAAUAUGAAUAGCACUCUGGUUGUCACAAUAAAGAGGAGUAGCAGAGGAGGUGGAUANNNNNNNNNNNNNNNNNNNNNNNNNNNNNNNNNNNNNNNNNNNNNNNNNNNNNNNNNNNNNNNNNNNNNNNNNNNNNNNNNNNNNNNNNNNNNNNNNNNNCCAAAAGAUAACAUUACGAGAAACGCGAAGACGAUGAGAAACAGGAUCAUAACACCUAUACCCCUUUUGAGUUUCGCCAUAACCAAGAAAACAACAGAGUCUAGAUCGAGGCUCAAGUUUGUUGUGCUCAUGAGGCUGAAGAAGAACAAAGCAAGCGGAUCCAAAGGAGCGAAGGUGAUGAUAGUUAGGGGGUGACCCAAAGAGACGCUCAUAUGGAGUCUGAUUAUGGAUGACAGUACUUGGAAUGCGGUUAAUUGCAUGAACAGCAUGAAGACUGGCUUCACCCCAAAAUGGGGCAGGAAUUUUGGCAGAAAGAAGUAAAGCACGAACAGUGUCAAGAAUAUGACGAAGUUUUCUUUCGGCUCGACCAUUUUGCUGAGAGGUACCUGGACAGGUUAGAUGAUGGAUAGUGCCAUAGGAAUGUAACAGAGUUUGAAAUGCAUGUUGAGUAUAUUCAAGAGCAUUAUCAGAUCGAAAGGUUUUGAUACGUUUGGAGAAUUGAGUUUCAACCAUUUUUGCAAAGUUGCUAUAUAUUAAUAAAAUUUCAGAACGAGAUUUCAUAGGAAAAAUCCAACUAUAACGAGAGUAAUUAUCAAUAAAAACAACAAAAUAUCGAGAUCCACCAAUACUAGCAACAGGAGAAGGUCCCCAAACAUCAGAAUGAAUUAACUCAAAAAUACUUUUAGAAAUGGAGUCACUGUUAUUGAAAGGCAAAGCUGGUUGUUUUCCUAACUGACAUGAAGUGCAAUCAAAAUUGUCUUUAGACACAGAACCCAACAGACCUCUAGACACUAACUGUUGUACCCGAGAAGAUGGUGCAUGACCAAGACGAGAAUGCCAAAGCGCAAGAGAAGGUAAGGAAGAAACUGCAGCUGUUGCAGCAGCAACAGAAACAGGAGCAACAGGUGGAAGAUGAAGAUUGUUCACGGGAAACAUACGCCCAACUCUAGGACCGGUCCCAAGCUCCUGCCCCGUCCUCGGAUCCUGUACAAUACACCCAGAAUAGUCAAAAAUAAGGCGAUAACCGAGUUCAGCUAAUUGUCCCACAGAGCACAAAUUAUAGGAUAGGUCAGGUACGUGAAAGACUCCAGGAACAGAAAGGGUAGAGGUUGAAACAAAACCUAGACUAUUUCCAUGCAUGGUGGAACCAUCGGCUAUAUGAAUAUUUAGAGGAUGUGGUGCAGGGUCAAGGUUGGUGAACAGGGAUGAGUGAGGUGUCAUGUGAUUGCAGCAGGCAGAAUCAAAGAGCCAAGUUUGAGACUUACCAGGUAGAACAGAUAAGGCAGUGGAAAGAGAUGCAUUACCAACCAUACGAACAGCCUGAGCUAUGAUCUCCUGUAGUUCAGUGGAAGAGAGGUUGAUAGUAGAUCCAGAAGACUGGGACGUGGAAACCGUUGGCGGAGUAGGUGCAGUAUUAGCAACAGCAGCAGUAGAUUUGUUACGACGGUAACAAGUCUCAAUGGUGUGGCCAGGACGCUUGCAAUAGUUGCAGAACUUCUUGUUGGUUUGCUUGCGACGAUUGCUAGAGCCAGAAAAAUCACCUAAUUGCUGAGGUUGCUCUAUGAGUGGAGUAGAUGGAGUAAUAGCCAAAAUAUUGAGCUUAUUCUGGGCUUGAAGGGUUGCAAGACGAGCUUCUUCUCUAACCAACUCAUUCACAGCAGUAUCAAGAGAGGGAGCAGGACUGCGAUUUAACAGCUGACCACGAAUGGGCUCAAAGUCCUUGUGAAGUGACAUCAAGAAUUCAUAGAGGCGAAAUUCAUCUCUAAUGGUAGCAUAUUGCUGAGCAUCUGUGGAGCAUCCCCAAGUUGGAUCAGAAAGGUCAAUUUGGUCCCAAAUGAAGCGAAGCUGAUCAUAAUAGUCAUUGAUGGAUUGCCCCGGUUCUUGCCUGAGUUGAUGCAAUUCAACCACUAACUGAUAUUUCAUGGAUCCAUGAGUAGUGGAGUACCUUUUGGUCAACAUAUCCCAUGCAGAUUUUGCAUCGUCAAAGCUACCCAAUAGGUUGGAAAUAGAGGGAAUGGAAGUGUUCCGGAUCCAUGUGAGGAUCAUGUGGUUAUGACUAUCCCAUUCAAUCAUGCGACUAAGAAAGACAGCAUCUUCUUCACUUGCUCCUUUGACAGGAAUAGUCAUUGCACCAGUACAAUAAUGCCAGAGCAUGCGACUCUUAAGAAAACUGCGCGUAGCUUGAGACCAGGAUAAGUAAUUUUUAGUCCCCUCCAAUACAGUAUGGAUGGGGCGAGGAAGAAAAACAUCCUUCUUAUCCAUUUAGGGAUGCAAUAUGCAAAACCGACUGCAGAAAUGAAAUCUAUACGAAAAACUAGGUAAGGAGAACCUGGCUGGGGAAAAAGUCAAUUGGACGGUCAACGGUCAAAGUCAACGGUCAACGCUGGUCAACGGUCAACGGUCAAUGGUCAACGGUCAACGACUGGAGAUGACGUCAGCAGAUCAGUGGAUGCUGACGCAGCUAGGGCUGACGUGGCAGCGCGUGGAGGCCUGACGAGCUAGUGCUGAUGUGGCAGCGCGUGGGGGCGCGUGGGGGCGCGUGAAGGCACGUGGAGGCGCGUGGAGGCGUUGCAGAAUCUUUGAGGGGCGCGUGCGGUCUCCGAUGGCGGCGAGAUAUCCACGAAUGUGUAGAUCGGCGCUGGACGAUCUCAGUGGUACCUUCAAAAGUGAAAUCGGAGCAAUAUUCGCAGCGAUGAUGCAAAGGGGCAGUGGUCUGUGCAGUGUGAGACUUCUUAAUGACUGCGGUUGCAGGUCCGGAACCCAGGGAUGACGACUGGAUGACGUCGGAGGUUCAACGGCAAGAGGCUACAGCGGCAGUUGUGAUGGCGGAAGCGCUUAGUGAAAAAGGAAGUCACACUAAUGAAGACAAGACUGCUAAGAAGAAAAAAAAAAGAGGUCAGAGCAGUGGCUCUGAUACCAUGUUAGAAAUAUAGAAUAAUUGUAUUCUAUUCUGUGAAUAAAAGAGUAUACAUCAGUGCCUUUAUAUAGGAGGCAUAUAUGUGUAGUACAAGGGUGCAGUACAAAGGUGUAGUACAAGUGUAGUACAAAGGUGUAGUACAAGUGUAUAGUACAAGUACUAUACAAGUAACCUAACUGGGCCCCUGGGCCUAGAGCCCACAAUACAAUAUACUUUAACACAGUUUAUCAUUUACAAAGUAGUUACAGAAUCAGAAAAACAACCUAAUAAAGCAUUGAGGCCAUUAAAACAGGUCUUGAAGAAAGAGGUAGAGCCCAAGUCUAGCUUGCAGCCAGUGGAGGAGUACUCCAUGUCCUCCACGUUUUGACUCUCAUCAUGCAAAAGGGGGAAGGCGAGAGAAAACCCAUCAAGCUGCUCCGGCGCCAUGUCUCAUAAACUAAGAAAGAAAGGAAGGGAAAGGAUUAUGAAGAUUAUGAA
Molecule: long non-coding RNA, 40837 nt
Filed under: Vitis vinifera (wine grape)
Lineage: Eukaryota; Viridiplantae; Streptophyta; Magnoliopsida; Vitales; Vitaceae
Description: long non-coding RNA (VVIN_LNC004892)
Source: RNAcentral